UGUUUCCAUACGAGAAGGUUAGGAAUUUUAUUUUUGAGAAUAAGGUUAGGAAUUUUUUGUGCUCCGUUUUUUCCCCUUUCCGCGUCCGCUGUUUUCCUUUCUGCGAAACCAUUCGCCUUCGAUCUUUGCUUCUCCAACAAUCUCCAUGGCUAGUUCUUCUUCCAGGCGGUUUAAGCGGCUUAGGAGGAGUUCAUCGGGUGGUGGUUCAGGUGUGUGCGCUUCAGGCUUGGAGUCUGUGCUGGGGACAUAGGGAUGCGUCACAUGGAACGUAUGUAGGAUAGUCGCUUGCCACUUGGGAUUGUGGCCUUUUCAGGGGUGAUGCACAAUGUUUGUGGUCUCUAUGCGUGUGCUAGAUGUCAGAUAUUCUAAUGUUUCAUAGCAACAUACAUCGGGAUAAAAACAUCAACUUCGUGUUGGGAUCUACAACUUAUGUUGGGGGAAGUUCAAUUGUAGUCACAGACAAUUCCUUUUGUUUCAUAUAUUUUAUAUUAGACUAUGGUCAUAUUAUCUUUGUUUAGUAGUUUUCCGGAUUCUUUAUCUCAUUAUUUAUUUUAAUGCACAGAGUACUUAUUUA
Long non-coding RNA from Ipomoea triloba (trilobed morning glory), 574 nucleotides. RefSeq lists it as uncharacterized. The transcript is spliced from 2 exons. The record is from RefSeq and is a predicted model, not a curated record. Lineage: Eukaryota; Viridiplantae; Streptophyta; Magnoliopsida; Solanales; Convolvulaceae.